AUACUAUAUUGUGAGCUAAGGAGAGUGAGGUAGGAAAAUGCAUAAUCAGGGUGCUGCUGGCUGGAGAAAACUACUCAGUGCCUUUGAAGACAGCUCUAGUUAAGGUUCAAGAGCAGCCACUGCUAGCAUAAUUACUAUCAAUGAAAGUGGCAACACCCGUGGUGAGUUCCCAGAAUAGCUGAGAUUCUAAUUGAUAACACACAGAGAACACAAGCAAAUCAGAAAGGACAAAAGGCUAUUAAUUUUGAGUAUAAACUACAUGAAAUGAAAAUGAAGACAAGGAAAAUGUGUUUUAACAGAAAGAAAGGACUCUGUGCUCAGAAUCGGCUUCUUCCUUUUAUGGCCCUUGUACUCAGUGGGAGACACGGCCGAGGGAUCACAAGAAGACCUGUCUCAGUCCCCUUCCACUUCAGCACACAAGGUCAAAGCAUGUCGUGCAUUUCUCUUCUGCUAUUAAUCUUCAUUACCCAAACAGUCAUUAAAUGAAACUCAGCCCACGUUUUUUUUUCCUGUUCAGUUUUUAUUACCACCACCUGACUAAUUAUUAAAAAGCAAGCAAGCAUCAAUUAGAUCCAGACACAUACAUGACAAUUACACUGGGGAGACACGACAGGGUUGAACAACACAUCCCCCUGGAGUGCAUAAUAAUCUGGCAGAGACCAGAGCUCUAUGUAUAAGCAACAAAUGCAUCUAAUUGACUUCCUGGGAAGCGAGGUCCUCAUGUCAAAACAUCUGGGUACAAUUUUCUGGGCAUUUAAACAGCUCUGACUCCAGAGAGACAUGGAGUAUGCCCUGGGCUGCAUCUAGACUGGAUUUACACAACCCCCUAGCACCUUAUCCUUGGUUCUUGCACCACAUAUGCCUUUUUCUUUAGCUCUUGGUCCAGUUCACCUGUUAUAGUUUGAAGUGAUAGACUUUUCUUCCUAUAUUUCAUCAGCCAAUCCUGUACCACACUGAAUUUCUGGCCAUUCCAUGGACAGGAAAGGAGGGUCAGUAGGCACCUUACACAUGUUCUUUCCCCCCUUGCUUUGCUAAAAAUGUGCACUCAUUCUUCAACUCCUGGUCUAAAUGUCACUGAGUUAAUGUAGUUUUUACUGAUUGCCCCCAAGCAUUUAGCUGCCUCCCAUCUUCUUUUUUUUAACUUAUUAGUUUAUUCAUGAGAGACACAGAGAGAGAGAGAGAGAGACAGAGACAGAGACAGAGACACAGGUGGAGGGAGAAGCAGGCCCCAUGCAGGGAGCCCGAUGCAGGACUCGAUCCUGGGACUUCAGGAUCAUGCCCUGGGCCAAAGGCAGGCGCUAAACCCCUGAG
This 1311-nucleotide long non-coding RNA is filed under the name Vulpes vulpes (red fox). Its description in RNAcentral is "lncRNA (ENSVVUG00000018613.1)". Lineage: Eukaryota; Metazoa; Chordata; Mammalia; Carnivora; Canidae. The record is from RNAcentral.